This 576-nucleotide ribosomal RNA is filed under the name uncultured bacterium. RNAcentral describes it as "bacterial SSU rRNA". It matches the Rfam family "Bacterial small subunit ribosomal RNA", at positions 102 to 677 of the family's 1533-position model. The record is from RNAcentral.
ACGGGUGAGUAAUACGUAGGGAUCUGCCUUGAAGAGUGGGACAACCCGAGGAAACUCGGGCUAAUACCGCAUGAUCUCUGAGGAGGAAAGGCUAGGGGUAACUCUGGCGCUUUAAGAGGAACCUACGUCCGAUUAGCUAGUUGGUAAGGUAAAGGCUUACCAAGGCGAUGAUCGGUAGCUGUUCUGAGAGGAAGAACAGCCACACUGGGACUGAGACACGGCCCAGACUCCUACGGGAGGCAGCAGUGGGGAAUAUUGGACAAUGGGGGCAACCCUGAUCCAGCGAUGCCGCGUGUGUGAAGAAGGCCUUCGGGUUGUAAAGCACUUUAGUUGGGGAAGAAGAAUUGUUGUUUAAGAGAUGGCAAUUUUGACGGUACCCAAGGAAUAAGCACCGGCUAACUCUGUGCCAGCAGCCGCGGUAAUACAGAGGGUGCGAGCGUUAAUCGGAAUUACUGGGCGUAAAGGGCGCGUAGGCGGUUUGAUAAGUGAGAUGUGAAAUCCCCGGGCUUAACCUGGGAACUGCAUCUCAGACUAUGAGACUGGAGUACAGUAGAGGGUAGUGGAAUUUCCGGUGUA